This 424-nucleotide ribosomal RNA is filed under the name uncultured bacterium. RNAcentral describes it as "bacterial SSU rRNA". It matches the Rfam family "Bacterial small subunit ribosomal RNA", at positions 354 to 771 of the family's 1533-position model. The record is from RNAcentral.
GUGGGGAAUUUUGCGCAAUGGGCGAAAGCCUGACGCAGCAACGCCGCGUGUGUGAUGAAGGUCUUCGGAUUGUAAAGCACUUUCGACCGGGACGAAAACCCGUUGGCUAACAUCCAACGGCUUGCCGGUACCGGGAGAAGAAGCACCGGCUAACUCUGUGCCAGCAGCCGCGGUAAUACAGAGGGUGCAAGCGUUGUUCGGAAUUAUUGGGCGUAAAGCGCGUGUAGGCGGCUUUGCAAGUCGGGUGUGAAAGCCCUCAGCUCAACUGAGGAAGUGCGCCCGAAACUGCAGAGCUUGAGUGCCGGAGAGGGUGGCGGAAUUCCCCAAGUAGAGGUGAAAUUCGUAGAUAUGGGGAGGAACACCGGUGGCGAAGGCGGCCACCUGGACGGUAACUGACGCUGAGACGCGAAAGCGUGGGGAGCAA